AACCCAGACUCCUACGGGAGGCAGCAGUGAGGAAUAUUGGUCAAUGGGCGGGAGCCUGAACCAGCCAAGCCGCGUGAAGGAAGAAGGCGCCAGGCGUCGUAAACUUCUUUUGUCGGGGAACAAAGGGCGCCACGCGUGGCGUUGUGAGUGUACCCGAAGAAAAAGCACCGGCUAACUCCGUGCCAGCAGCCGCGGUAAUACGUAGGGGGCAAGCGUUGUUCGGAAUGACUGGGCGUAAAGGGUGUGUAGGCGGUGUAGCAAGUUAGAAGUGAAAUACCUAGAGCUUAACUCAGGUGCUGCUUCUAAAACUGCUAUACUUGAGUGCAGUAGAGGAAAGUGGAAUUCCUAGUGUAGCGGUGGAAUGCGUAGAUAUUAGGAGGAACAUCAGUGGCGAAGGCGACUUUCUGGACUGUAACUGACGCUGAGGCACGAAAGUGUGGGGAGCAAACAGGAUUAGAUACCCGGGUAC
Molecule: ribosomal RNA, 469 nt
Filed under: uncultured bacterium
Lineage: Bacteria
Description: bacterial SSU rRNA
Rfam family: Bacterial small subunit ribosomal RNA
Source: RNAcentral